Molecule: ribosomal RNA, 253 nt
Filed under: uncultured bacterium
Lineage: Bacteria
Description: partial 16S ribosomal RNA
Rfam family: Bacterial small subunit ribosomal RNA
Source: RNAcentral
UACGAAGGGUGCAAGCGUUAAUCGGAAUUACUGGGCGUAAAGGGCUCGUAGGCGGCCAACUAAGUCAUACGUGAAAUCCCUCAGCUUAACUGGGGAACUGCGUGUGAUACUGGAUGGCUUGGAUUUGGGAGAGGGAUGCGGAAUUCCAGGUGUAGCGGUGAAAUGCGUAGAUAUCUGGAGGAACACCGGUGGCGAAGGCGGCAUCCUGGACCGGUAUUGACGCUGAGGCGCGAAAGCCAGGGGAGCAAACGGG